GGACUACCAGGGUAUCUAAUCCUGUUUGCUCCCCACGCUUUCGCGCCUCAGCGUCAGUCUGUGUCCAGGGUGCCGCCUUCGCCACCGGUGUUCUUUCCGAUAUCUACGCAUUUCACCGCUACACCGGAAAUUCCACACCCCUCUACACGACUCUAGACAUGCAGUAUUAGAUGCAAGUCCCAGGUUAAGCCCGGGCCUUUCACAUCCAACUUACACAUCCGCCUACGCGCCCUUUACGCCCAGUAAUUCCGAUUAACGCUCGCACCCUCUGUAUUACCGCGGCGGCUGGCAC
Molecule: ribosomal RNA, 292 nt
Filed under: uncultured bacterium
Lineage: Bacteria
Also listed under: 1 other name
Description: partial 16S ribosomal RNA
Source: RNAcentral